AGUGUCAAAAAGUGUAAAAGGUUUUGUAAUUUAGAUCCGUUUUGUUUUAUAUGAAAGAGAAAGAGAGAGGAGUUUGUUUUCUAUUGGACACGACGCCCGUACAGUGCAUCCUACACAGUUAUUCGUGGUCAGUCCAUUUAACUGUUGGUGGAUAGAGAACACGCUUUGAGUAAUACUCCCCGCAUUUUCUUCUCCGGCUUAUACAAGAUAUCUUGAUGCAACAUUUAUAAACUCUAGUAUCGGCUACAACUGGACAGUUAAGACAAGUAAUUUGAAUUUAACAGAUAAUAUCGGAGAUCGAGAAAAUUGUGCUGAGCAUCUAAUAAAUAGAAUACAAACCAGCUAAUGAAGAGUAUUAAUAGUUGAUGCAGUCGUUAUAGGUAAAUUACCUAGAUCUUGCGAGUUGAGUUUUUGACUAAGCGCCUGUUCCUGCUUCUCAUAUCUCGGCGUUUUAUCUUUCUUAGUUUUAAAACAGUUUAAUUGCAGUGAUGGGUGUUGGAAGCUUAUAAACGGUUCGAGCUCUAAAUUUGUGAUCUUUUUUGGAAAAUAUAUUGGAAUGUUUACCAAACGGAGGCGGCCAUAGCUAUGCUACAGAGCGUAUAUCGUCACUCGUGCCUUGUGUUACUGGGAUUGUUAAUAUCAGCUUAUGGUCUUUAUUUGCCUCCUGUACGAUCAUAUCCACGAGCUUCUUAUAGUAGAAAUAAUUAUAGAUCACCAUACGAUUCUGUACCAAGAGUCAGCGUGCCCAAAAGAUCCGACCGUUUUGUCAGUUUUACCAGAUUUAUGGCUCGCCAGAGUCCCAGAUACAGAGAUGAUCAAGCCUUUGUUGAAAAAAUGUUUAGAUUAUUUGACAUGAAUGAUGAUGAAGUGAUAGAACGAGAUGAAUUUCGAGCCAUUUUACAACUUUUUGGUAUCGUUAGUCAUACAUAUUGACCUUGACAUUAUCAUCACUAUGGCAACCAAACACUUACGUGGCUUCCAGUGGAUGACGGCCGGAUAUCAGAAAUAUCCAGGAGGGCAUACGCUAAGCACUAUUUCCAGGAACAAAAUAUACAGUCUGCAUGGUGUAGAGGUGACGACAAACAGGGAUCGGAAACGGAAAUCGGAACGAAAUCUGUGUAACGGAAGCAGACUGUGUCAGUCAACAUCUAAAGUGCCGCCAUUUAAUGAUGGCGGAUACGAUCCAAAACACUCCCAGAGAAAAUGGCACUUGUGGACCUCAAAAUACUGUCUGGACAAUGUGGACAAUAUUCAUAGAUAUAUUUUAAAGGAGUAAUCCGUUUUAAAUGAUGAAAAGUGUGAUUUAAACCAAAUUAAUGUUUAAAAUUUCGGCAAACCGAUAAAGGAAAGGAUUAAGCCUAUACUUGGACUUUAUGAUCGAAGUGGUGACUUAUUUUUAAACUAUUUGUGAAUAUAGCUAUACUUGAAAAAUAAUAUGCUUUAUUCUUUUACAUACGGGACGGUGCAAUCCUUGUUUUUCAGUUGUUUUUAAGAUAUAUUUUAAUUUGUUAUACAUGUAUUAUGUUUACAUUUUCAUUUCAGAGUAUUUCAUUUGUUAAAUUAUUAUAUAUUGUCAAGACCUUUCAGACAGUUCGCUGAAAUCGUAUAUAUAUAUAUCUACUUUCAGACGAACUGUGUUAGGCCUUUAUCGUCUAAAAUAUAUAUAUAUGCAUUUAUGGAAAUGAAUUUCAUACACCACAAGGUGUUAUGCUGCUAAAAAUGACAAUGAUGCUUUUACUUUGAUUAUUUCGCAUUUGUUUCGCAUUUUCAGCGAGAUAUAAAAUAUACAAUUUCUACGGUUAUACUAGGCUCAGUCCUACAAAGACGUUGCUCACAGUGUACACAUUUCAAACAUUUACGUUCAGUUAUGUGCAGACUUUCAACCAGCAUAUUUCCAUCUAAUGGUGUAAACCCCAAUCCUUUGUUAUCGAAAACAAUACAAGAUUAAAUUUUGGCGGAUUUUUUAAAAAUUUUGUCCAGUUCAAACAAUGUUUGAGUUGUUUGUAGCUAUUAUUCCUCUACACAUACUAUAAUAAAAAUAUAUAUUCUGAUGCCAUGAUUAAUAAAUAAUGACUUUCGGCUUAUCGGACUUAAGGGAUUUAUUUAGAAAUCCCAUUAUUCCGAUAUCCCAAAAUUGGGCAUAAUAUUUAUUGUUACUUAUUGACCAAUGGGUAAAUUAGUGAGAUAAACUUCAACAAGAAAACAGACGGAUAACCAGACCUUAGAUCUAAAUUGGUUUCAACUCUCAGUGGAUUGAUUAUUUUCCUAUUGGUGUAUAGCUGGGUAAACUAUUUCCGAUUGACAUACACUGCAUUCGAUUCGCAUCGUAUUUUCGGAAAUAUCCAAUUCGGUUUUACGGAGGGGGUGGGGGGCAUUUAUCUUUACAUAAUUUUAUUGAUAUUUUAAAGUCGGAAAAUAGGGCAGUAUUUCCCCCCAUUACAUUAAUCGAAUUGAACAUAGCUACAUCUGACCCACUAAAGAUAUACCUUCCUUUCCAAGUUCAUACCAUGGAUUAUUUGUGUAUUUUCACUGUUAAUUCUAUCGCUUGUAAAACAAGGUGUAUCAUAUAUAUUGAAUAUACAUACGAAUAAAAAAAUUCCCGAAAAAAAUAUGUUAAAAUUAUACACACAACCGAGUCACGGAUUUUCAUUACAGCUUAUCUUAGAAUGUUUAAAGAAAAACAAAGUAAUGACUUAGAACUUUUUCUGAUGAGCAUGACUUUGUCGGGGACGGAUCAUAUGAAUAAUAAGCCAGUAUUCUUCAUCUGUUAUUGUGUUUCAUGCCCAUUAAAGCAUGCAUUCAGUUUAAAAAUACUAUUUUGACAAAUAUUGAACUAUCUAGUUUGAUAUGAUUUACAUAUUUUUAUUUAACGGAUACCGUAUUUUUCUUACAUAUAUUCUUUGUAAAUUAAUCAUAUACAUUUAGGGACCAACAUAUUUGGCAAGGCGAUUUACUUAAAAUUAAAUGAAUAAAUCCAAAGAUUCUCAAAAGGUGGAAAGGACCUUCUUUUUUUGUAUUUUAGACCUAAGAUUCAGAAAGCUUCAGACUUGAUCAAUGCACAUGGCAUCGAUUGCCAAAAAUAUUUGCAGAUGAAUACGGUGUCUAAACUCUAGGUUUCAGUUUUCAUUCAGAUUUCAUUAUAUUAGUAUACGUAUAUACCCAUCUAUUUGAUGUGAAAACAGACACAACUAAACUUUGACGUUGGUAGAAGAUGUACAUUUACGGCAUCAAGGUCUUAAUGUUAAUUGUUAAUUCGCUAGAUUGCUACGUUAAGACCUGUUUCCUUUUUCUGAUUUUUAAACAUACAGAGUUUAAAAUUCGACUGGCUGGCUACCCUUGAUAUAAAUUGGCUUAUAUUUGUGAUACCACUAGAUAAUUGGGGAUUUUAUAACAUCUUUGGUAACCAUUAGACAAUACCAGUCCCAUUUCUACCAACGGUAUCUUACGCAGUAUACACGUUAUCAACCCGUACUACAAGGACGUGCAUGAAUUCUGUUUAUUUGUCUAGCAGGAAAUCGGACCAUGAUCACCUGGCUGUCCUCUGAUAAUAGGCCUGACUAUUUUAAUUCGAACUGUCUGCAAGUCUAGAAAUGGAGAUUACAGAAAUGAUGGGAACGAAACCUAGUCUUGUAUUUAUCUCACAGGUCUGAAUCUAAGCUUAAGGAAUUUUGAUUAUAGGAUUUUAUUCGGUUUAAAAUUAUUUGUCUUAUAUUUUUGUGUUUAAAUUUAAAAUGAAUAGCGUAUCAAGACAGUAUUUAACUGUUUUGUUUUUAUUUAUACUAUAAUAAAUAUUAUAAUGUAUCAAGAAUUAAAUACGGUAUCAUUGCUUAUCAUUCGAUCAUUUUCUGCGAAGAAAACAUGUUUUAAGUAUUACUACAUUUUACCGUAUGGUUUACUCUGAUAAAA
Patella vulgata (common limpet) is the source of this 3906-nucleotide long non-coding RNA. RefSeq lists it as uncharacterized. The record is from RefSeq and is a predicted model, not a curated record. Lineage: Eukaryota; Metazoa; Mollusca; Gastropoda; Patellidae. The transcript is spliced from 4 exons.